UGUGAAAAGCCAUAUCAGAAUCUG
This 24-nucleotide non-coding RNA is filed under the name Rattus norvegicus (Norway rat). Lineage: Eukaryota; Metazoa; Chordata; Mammalia; Rodentia; Muridae. The record is from RNAcentral.